AAUAUUGCACAAUGGGCGAAAGUCUGAUGGAGCAACGCCGCGUGAGCGAAGAAGGUUUNCGGAUCNUNAAGCUCUGUUGUAAGGGNCGAACACGUACGGGAGUCACUGCCCGUACCUUGACGGUACCUUAUCAGAAAGCCACGGCUAACUACGUGCCAGCAGCCGCGGUAAUACGUAGGUGGCAAGCGUUGUCCGGAAUUAUUGGGCGUAAAGCGCGCGCAGGCGGUCCUUUAAGUCUGAUGUGAAAGCCCACGGCUCAACCGUGGAGGGUCAUUGGAAACUGGAGGACUUGAGUACAGAAGAGGAAAGCGGAAUUCCACGUGUAGCGGUGAAAUGCGUAGAGAUGUGGAGGAACACCAGUGGCGAAGGCGGCUUUCUGGUCUGUAACUGACGCUGAGGCGCGAAAGCGUGGGGAGCAAACAGG
This 424-nucleotide ribosomal RNA is filed under the name uncultured bacterium. RNAcentral describes it as "partial 16S ribosomal RNA". It matches the Rfam family "Bacterial small subunit ribosomal RNA", at positions 360 to 776 of the family's 1533-position model. The record is from RNAcentral.